Molecule: ribosomal RNA, 163 nt
Filed under: Lespedeza fordii
Lineage: Eukaryota; Viridiplantae; Streptophyta; Magnoliopsida; Fabales; Fabaceae
Description: 5.8S ribosomal RNA
Rfam family: 5.8S ribosomal RNA
About the family: 5.8S ribosomal RNA (5.8S rRNA) is a component of the large subunit of the eukaryotic ribosome. It is transcribed by RNA polymerase I as part of the 45S precursor that also contains 18S and 28S rRNA. Functionally, it is thought that 5.8S rRNA may be involved in ribosome translocation.
Source: RNAcentral
GAACGACUCUCGGCAACGGAUAUCUCAGCUCUCGCAUCGAUGAAGAACGUAGCGAAAUGCGAUACUUGGUGUGAAUUGCAGAAUCCCGUGAACCAUCGAGUCUUUGAACGCAAGUUGCGCCCGAAGCCAUUAGGCCGAGGGCACGCCUGCCUGGGUGUCACAC